RNAcentral lists this ribosomal RNA (520 nucleotides) under uncultured bacterium. RNAcentral describes it as "bacterial SSU rRNA". It matches the Rfam family "Bacterial small subunit ribosomal RNA", at positions 777 to 1297 of the family's 1533-position model. The record is from RNAcentral.
AGUAGAUACCCGGGUAGUCCACGCCGUAAACGAUGAGUGCUAAGUGUUAGAGGGUUUCCGCCCUUUAGUGCUGAAGUUAACGCAUUAAGCACUCCGCCUGGGGAGUACGGCCGCAAGGCUGAAACUCAAAGGAAUUGACGGGGGCCCGCACAAGCGGUGGAGCAUGUGGUUUAAUUCGAAGCAACGCGAAGAACCUUACCAGGUCUUGACAUCCUCUGACAACCCUAGAGAUAGGGCUUCUCCUUCGGGAGCAGAGUGACAGGUGGUGCAUGGUUGUCGUCAGCUCGUGUCGUGAGAUGUUGGGUUAAGUCCCGCAACGAGCGCAACCCUUGAUCUUAGUUGCCAUCAUUCAGUUGGGCACUCUAAGGUGACUGCCGGUGACAAACCGGAGGAAGGUGGGGAUGACGUCAAAUCAUCAUGCCCCUUAUGACCUGGGCUACACACGUGCUACAAUGGACGGUACAAAGAGCUGCAAGACCGCGAGGUGGAGCUAAUCUCAUAAAACCGUUCUCAGUUCGGA